RNAcentral lists this ribosomal RNA (493 nucleotides) under uncultured bacterium. Its description in RNAcentral is "partial 16S ribosomal RNA". It matches the Rfam family "Bacterial small subunit ribosomal RNA", at positions 28 to 507 of the family's 1533-position model. The record is from RNAcentral.
GACGAACGCUGGCGGCGCGCUUAACACAUGCAAGUCGAACGGAAAGGCCUCUUUCCCUCGUGGAUUGCGGGUACUCGAGUGGCGAACGGGUGAGUAACACGUGAGUGAUCUGCCCCCAACUUGGGUAUAAGCCUGGGAAACUGGGUCUAAUUCCCGAUAGGACUGCAGGGUGGUGCCUGUGGUGGAAAACGAUUUUCUAGUGGUUGGGGAUGAGCUCGCGGCCUAUCAGCUUGUUGGUGGGGUAAUGGCCUACCAAGGCGGCGACGGGUAGCCGGCCUGAGAGGGUGGACGGCCACAUUGGGACUGAGAUACGGCCCAGACUCCUACGGGAGGCAGCAGUGGGGAAUAUUGCACAAUGGGCGGAAGCCUGAUGCAGCGACGCCGCGUGGGGGAUGACGGCCUUCGGGUUGUAAACUCCUUUCGACCGCGAGGAAGCCACCUGGUUGGAAGGGUGGUGACGGUAGUGGUAGAAGAAGCACCGGCUAACUACGUG